RNAcentral lists this ribosomal RNA (1491 nucleotides) under metagenome. RNAcentral's name for it is "bacterial SSU rRNA". It matches the Rfam family "Bacterial small subunit ribosomal RNA". The record is from RNAcentral.
GCUGGUAGCGUGGAUUAGGCAUGCAAGUCGAACGGCAUCGGUGUUGUAGCAAUACAAUUACCGUGAGAGUGGCGAAAGGGCGAGUAACGCAUGGGUAAUCUACCCUCGAGCUGGGGAUAACGCCGUGAAAACGGCGCUAAUACCGAAUGUGGCUCUCCGGGGCAUCCCGGGGAAGCUAAAGGCGGGGACCGCAAGGCCUGCCGCUCAAGGAGGAACCCGUGUGCCAUCAGCUUGUUGGCGAGGUAACGGCUCACCAAGGCUUACGGCUAGCUGGUCUGAGAGGACGACCAGCCGCACUGGGACUGAGACACUGCCCAGACUCCUACGGGAGGCUGCAGUCGAGGAUCAUUCGCAAUGGGCGAAAGCCUGACGAUGCGACGCUGCGUGGAGGAUGACGGCCUUCGGGUUGUAAACUCCUGUCAUGAGGGGAAAAGGUGCCGGGUGUUAAUAGCAUUCGGCCUCGAUAGUACCUCAAGAGGAAGCCACGGCUAACUCUGUGCCAGCAGCCGCGGUAAUACAGAGGUGGCGAGCGUUGUUCGGAUUUACUGGGCGUAAAGGGCGCGUAGGCCGUUUGGUAUGUCGAGUGUGAAAUCUCCAGGCUCAACCUGGAAAGUGCGCUCGAAACUGCCGGACUAGAGCAUGGUAGGGGAGAGCGGAAUACACGGUGUAGCGGUGAAAUGCGUUGAUAUCGUGUAGAACACCGGUGGCGAAGGCGGCUCUCUGGAACAUUGCUGACGCUGAGGCGCGAAAGUUGGGGGAGCAAACAGGAUUAGAUACCCUGGUAGUCCUAACUGUAAACGGUGUGCACUGGACGUGGAGGGAUUUCACCCCCUCCGUGUCGAAGCUAACGCGUUAAGUGCACCGCCUGGGGAGUACGGCCGCAAGGUUAAAACUCAAAGAAAUUGACGGGGGCCCGCACAAGCGGAGGAGCAUGUGGCUUAAUUCGAUGCCACGCGAAGAACCUUACCUGGGUUUGACAUGCAGCUGCACGUCCUAUGAAAGUAGGAUUCCUUCGAGGGUGCUGCACAGGUGCUGCAUGGCUGUCGUCAGUUCGUGCCGUGAGGUGUUUGGUUAAGUCCAGCAACGAACGCAACCCCUGUGAUUAGUUGCCACCGGGUCAUGCCGGGCACUCUAAUCAGACUGCCUGUAUACGCAGGAGGAAGGUGGGGACGACGUCAAGUCAGUAUGGCCCUUACAUCCAGGGCUGCACACGUGCUACAAUGGCCGUUACAAAGGGAAGCAAGACCGCGAGGUGGAGCCAAUCCCUAAAAGCGGCCUCAGUUCAGAUUGCAGUCUGCAACUCGACUGCAUGAAGUUGGAUUCGCUAGUAACGGGGCAUCAGCUACGGCCCCGUGAAUACGUUCCCGGGCCUUGUACACACCGCCCGUCACAUCAUGAAAGCCGUCUGCACCCAAAGCCAGUGUACUAACCCGCAAGGGCAGAAGCUGUCUAAGGUGUGGGUGGUGAUUGGGAUGAAGUCGUAACAAGGUA